Molecule: ribosomal RNA, 703 nt
Filed under: Mortierella alpina
Lineage: Eukaryota; Fungi; Mortierellomycota; Mortierellomycetes; Mortierellales; Mortierellaceae
Description: eukaryotic LSU rRNA
Rfam family: Eukaryotic large subunit ribosomal RNA
Source: RNAcentral
GCGGGAUGAGCUCAAAUUUAAAAUCUGGCUGGUUUACUAGUCCGAAUUGUAGUUUAAAGAAGCGUUUUCGGUGGCAGCCUGGGUAUAAAUCCUUUGGAACAGGGUAUCAUAGAGGGUGAGAAUCCCGUCUUUGACUCAGUGCAUGCUACUAUGUGAUACGUUUUCAAAGAGUCGAGUUGUUUGGGAAUGCAGCUCAAAAUGGGUGGUAAAUUUCAUCUAAAGCUAAAUAUUGGCGAGAGACCGAUAGCGAACAAGUACCGUGAGGGAAAGAUGAAAAGAACUUUGAAAAGAGAGUUAAACAGUGCGUGAAAUUGUUGAAAGGGAAACGCUUGACACCAGUCAUGCGAGCGGAAAAUCAGUCUUUUGCAGUGGGGAGUGUGUGUGGGUUCGGACCGCAAGGCCGGCCUGCGCUUCAUCUCUGCUGUAAGUGAUGCACUUUUUCGUUUGCAGGCCAACAUCAGUUUCUUCUGCUGGACAAAACUCUUGAGAAGGUAGCAGCUUAGGCUGUGUUAUAGCUCUUGAGCGAUACAGUGGAGGAGACUGAGGUUUUCGCAGCGCGUGCUUUCGGGCAAGGCUGAUUGGGUGCUAUGGGAUCGUUCGGUGUACAAUGCAUGCAUUUUGCGCCGUGUCUUUUCUAUACUCGCUCAACUCGGCUCUUCCGCGCUUAGGAUGUUGGCUUAAUGGUUUUAAUCGACCCGUCUUA